GUGCACUUCUCCCCUAGUAGGACGUCGCGACCCGUUGGGUGUCGGUCUACGGCCCGGAAUGUCGACUGUCUAGUUACGCUCGUCGUAUACGAGGCAGACUUUCGGAUGCCCGACCGGCUGCCCGGCGGUAUCGAAAGCUAACAUAAACUGGUAUUGAGCCGCAUUAAAUGCGUUCGACUCGUCGGCCGGCUGUCUCUCUCGGAUUUACGGACUUUGUGCCGUUGUCGAGUGCUUGACGAGCUACUCAGGUCGUGCGAUGUACUCGGACAGGCUCGUUACAUUCGAACGGAUGUACCGGUCAGCGACGCUACUGCUUUGGGUACUUUCAGGACCCGUCUU
RNAcentral lists this ribosomal RNA (339 nucleotides) under Cales sp. D2813. RNAcentral describes it as "eukaryotic LSU rRNA". Lineage: Eukaryota; Metazoa; Arthropoda; Insecta; Hymenoptera; Calesidae. The record is from RNAcentral.